AGAGUUUGAUCCUGGCUCAGAACGAACGCUGGCGGCAGGCCUAACACAUGCAAGUCGAGCGAACCUUCGGGUUAGCGGCGGACGGGUGAGUAACGCGUGGGAACGUACCCUCUUCUGCGGGAUAGCCACUGGAAACGGUGAGUAAUACCGCAUACGCCCUUCGGGGGAAAGAUUUAUCGGAGGAGGAUCGGCCCGCGUUGGAUUAGGUAGUUGGUGGGGUAAUGGCCUACCAAGCCUACGAUCCAUAGCUGGUUUUAGAGGAUGAUCAGCCACACUGGGACUGAGACACGGCCCAGACUCCUACGGGAGGCAGCAGUGGGGAAUCUUAGACAAUGGGCGCAAGCCUGAUCUAGCCAUGCCGCGUGAGUGACGAAGGCCUUAGGGUCGUAAAGCUCUUUCGCCAGAGAUGAUAAUGACAGUAUCUGGUAAAGAAACCCCGGCUAACUCCGUGCCAGCAGCCGCGGUAAUACGGAGGGGGUUAGCGUUGUUCGGAAUUACUGGGCGUAAAGCGCACGUAGGCGGAUUGGAAAGUUGGGGGUGAAAUCCCAGGGCUCAACCCUGGAACGGCCUCCAAAACUCCCAGUCUGGAGUUCGAGAGAGGUGAGUGGAAUUCCGAGUGUAGAGGUGAAAUUCGUAGAUAUUCGGAGGAACACCAGUGGCGAAGGCGGCUCACUGGCUCGAUACUGACGCUGAGGUGCGAAAGUGUGGGGAGCAAACAGGAUUAGAUACCCUGGUAGUCCACACCGUAAACGAUGAAUGCCAGUCGUCG
This 769-nucleotide ribosomal RNA is filed under the name uncultured bacterium. RNAcentral describes it as "bacterial SSU rRNA". It matches the Rfam family "Bacterial small subunit ribosomal RNA", at positions 8 to 825 of the family's 1533-position model. The record is from RNAcentral.